AAUUAGACACUAGGAACUGAAAUGGACGGAAAUUGAAUUAAAAGACUAACAACAAUGAAAACUAACUAAAUAAAAUAAUUUAAUAAUGGGGGGGGGUUUGGUUUUGACGAGAAGUAAAUUAAACUUAAAUAAAUUACAGAAUUGACAAAAGUAUGAAUUAAGGUGAAAGGAUAGGUGACGGACUAGCUAGAGGGUUCUUCUUCACACAUGACACAUAUGCAACCUAAAUUGAUUU
RNAcentral lists this long non-coding RNA (235 nucleotides) under Malus domestica (apple). Its description in RNAcentral is "long non-coding RNA (MDOM_LNC006774)". The record is from RNAcentral. Lineage: Eukaryota; Viridiplantae; Streptophyta; Magnoliopsida; Rosales; Rosaceae.